GAUGAACGCUGGCGGCGUGCCUAGUACAUGCAAGUCGAGCGAACAGACGAGGAGCUUGCUCCUCUGACGUUAGCGGCGGACGGGUGAGUAACACGUGGAUAACCUACCUAUAAGACUGGGAUAACUUCGGGAAACCGGAGCUAAUACCGGAUAAUAUAUUGAACCGCAUGGUUCAAUAGUGAAAGACGGUUUUGCUGUCACUUAUAGAUGGAUCCGCGCCGCAUUAGCUAGUUGGUAAGGUAACGGCUUACCAAGGCAACGAUGCGUAGCCGACCUGGGAGGGUGAUCGGCCACACUGGAACUGAGACACGGUCCAGACUCCUACGGGAGGCAGCAGUAGGGAAUCUUCCGCAAUGGGCGAAAGCCUGACGGAGCAACGCCGCGUGAGUGAUGAAGGUCUUCGGAUCGUAAAACUCUGUUAUUAGGGAAGAACAAAUGUGUAAGUAACUAUGCACGUCUUGACGGUACCUAAUCAGAAAGCCACGGCUAACUACGUG
Molecule: ribosomal RNA, 497 nt
Filed under: uncultured bacterium
Lineage: Bacteria
Description: partial 16S ribosomal RNA
Rfam family: Bacterial small subunit ribosomal RNA
Source: RNAcentral